Molecule: ribosomal RNA, 1978 nt
Filed under: algae metagenome
Description: bacterial LSU rRNA
Rfam family: Bacterial large subunit ribosomal RNA
Source: RNAcentral
AUAAGCAAAAUAAGGGCGUAUGGGGGAUGCCUAGGCUCUCAGAGGCGAAGAAAGGCGUGAUAAGCUGCGAAAAGCUACGGGGAUCGGCACACACGAGUUGAUCCGUAGAUACCUGAAUGGGGCAACCCGGCAUGUUGAAGACAUGUCACUCCGAUAGGAGGGCAAACCCGCUGAACUGAAACAUCUAAGUAGGCGGAGGAGAAGAAAACAAAAGUGAUUCCGUAAGUAGUGGCGAGCGAACGCGGAUUAGCCCAAACCAAUGUUGUUACGGCAAUAUUGGGGUUGUAGGACCACGACAUUUUAUGCAAACUGAACCGGAAGGACCUGGAAAGGUCCGCCAUAGAGGGUGAUAGCCCCGUAUGGGUAAGGGAUGUAAUAGAUAGUGGUAUCCUGAGUAGGGCGGGGCACGUGAAACCCUGUCUGAAUCUGGCGGGACCAUCCGCUAAGGCUAAAUACUCCUGAGAGACCGAUAGUGAACCAGUACCGUGAGGGAAAGGUGAAAAGAACCGUGAAUAACGGAGUGAAACAGAUCCUGAAACCAUACGCCUACAAGCGGUCGGAGCAUCCAAGUGGUGUGACGGCGUGCCUUUUGCAUAAUGAGCCUACGAGUUAACGUUGCCGGCAAGGAUAAGCUAUUAAGUAGUGGAUCCGUAGCGAAAGCGAGUCUGAAUAGGGCGCUUUAGUCGGUAGUGUUAGACGCGAAACCGUGUGAUCUACCCAUGGGCAGGAUGAAGCUGUGGUAACACACAGUGGAGGUCCGAACCGGUUGACGUUGAAAAGUCUUCGGAUGACCUGUGGGUAGGGGUGAAAGGCCAAUCAAACUCGGAAAUAGCUCGUACUCCCCGAAAUGCAUUUAGGUGCAGCGCUGGAUAUAAGUUUAUUAGAGGUAGAGCUACUGAUUGGAUGCGGGGGCUUCACCGCCUACCAAUUCCUGACAAACUCCGAAUGCUAAUAAAUGUUUACCAGCAGUGAGGGCUUGGGUGCUAAGGUCCAAGUCCGAGAGGGAAAGAACCCAGACCAUCAGCUAAGGUCCCAAAAUCUACACUAAGUUGAAAGAACGAGGUUUGUCUGCCCAGACAGCUAGGAUGUUGGCUUGGAAGCAGCCAUUCAUUUAAAGAGUGCGUAACAGCUCACUAGUCGAGCGGACGAGCAUGGAUAAUAAUCGGGCAUAAGUGUAGUACCGAAGCUAUGGAUUCUGUAGCAAUACAGAGUGGUAGGGGAGCAUUCUAUCAGGGUAGAAGGUGUAGCGUGAGCUAUGCUGGACCGGAUAGAAAAGAAAAUGUAGGCAUAAGUAACGAUAAUGCGGGCGAGAAACCCGCACACCGAAAGACUAAGGUUUCCUCAGCUAUGCUAAUCAGCUGAGGGUUAGUCGGGUCCUAAGGCGAACCCGAAAGGGACAGUCGAUGGCCAACGGGUUAAUAUUCCCGUACUACUGAUAACUGUGAUGGGGUGACGGAGUGAUGAAAGCGCCGCGAACUGACGGAAUAGUUCGUUGAAGGUUGUAGCUAUAUUCUUUAUAGGCAAAUCCGUAGAGAAUGGCAAAGACCGAUAGUACACGGAGUCUUCGGACAAAGUGAUAGUGCGCCUAAGGGCUUCCAAGAAAAACCUCUAAACUUCAGGUUAUUAGUACCCGUACCGUAAACCGACACAGGUAGUCGAGGAGAGAAUCCUAAGGUGCUCGAGAGAUUCAUGGCUAAGGAAUUAGGCAAAAUAGACCCGUAACUUCGGGAGAAGGGUCGCCCCCAGUAAUGGGGGCCGCAGUGAAGAGGUCCAGGCGACUGUUUAUCAAAAACACAGGGCUCUGCAAAAUCGUAAGAUGAAGUAUAGGGCCUGACACCUGCCCGGUGCUGGAAGGUUAAGAGGAGAUGUUAUCUUCGGAGAAGCAUUGAAUUGAAGCCCCAGUAAACGGCGGCCGUAACUAUAACGGUCCUAAGGUAGCGAAAUUCCUUGUCGGGUAAGUUCCGACCUGCACGAAUGG